This 42-nucleotide non-coding RNA is filed under the name Trichobilharzia regenti. The record is from RNAcentral. Lineage: Eukaryota; Metazoa; Platyhelminthes; Trematoda; Strigeidida; Schistosomatidae.
AAGUUGACGAAUCCCAAAUAGGACGAAAUGCGCAUCCUGGAU